Schizosaccharomyces pombe (fission yeast) is the source of this 663-nucleotide non-coding RNA. NCBI's taxonomy places the organism in Eukaryota, Fungi, Ascomycota, Schizosaccharomycetes, Schizosaccharomycetales, Schizosaccharomycetaceae. The record is from the annotation of a GenBank genome assembly.
AAAGUGUGGUAGCGAAUAUCUUUCUUAGUAUUUCUAGCUGCCGAGAGAUCUACCAACGAACUCUAGGUCUCCGCAAAAUUUGACAAGAGUGGUACUCGGCCUGGAUAACUUUAUGUUCAGAAGAAAGAUCAUCGUCAUGGCAUAUGAUUAUCAAAAAUUCCCCGUGUUUAAGUAUCACAACUCAGAUAACAAUACCAAGGAGAAUAGGAAACCAUAGAAUACAGUCCGUGAGUAGACACUCAAGGAAAUUGACAUCAAUUCACAGUCUCCAUUGCAAAGUCUUGGUGUGGAUAUAUUAUAUUAUAAUAUUAAUACAGGAAACAAUGAAAACGCUUGAAAUAAUGAUGCCUGAUAUUUUCGAAACACCUUGCGCUGCAACGUGUGCUAUUUUGAAUUAUAUUCAGGUGCAACAACAGACAUAGUUGAAUUACCAUGACUGUGCGAAUUUUACUAAACUAGAAUAAUCAAGAAAGGCUGAUAGUAACUAAAAACGUUUAUUGCACAAAUUGGGAACUGAUUUACGUAGUAGAAAUGAAAAGAAAUGUAAAUCCAUGAAGCAACUUAUAUAAUUGAAGAAUGGUAAGCGCUCAACUAAAUUGAUAUAAUAAUCCAAAAGCUAUAACCCUUGAACUUGUUGAAGUAAAAAAUCUCAUCCAUUGUUAU